Long non-coding RNA from Cyprinus carpio carpio, 2294 nucleotides. NCBI's taxonomy places the organism in Eukaryota, Metazoa, Chordata, Actinopteri, Cypriniformes, Cyprinidae. The record is from Ensembl.
UUUUUAUGUUAGAUUGCUUGCGCUGUUCUUUACGUGUAAUCGAAAAUAACCAGUCAAACAAUAUAUUUUCUUUCGUUUUCAACAGGUUUGGAACAGCUAGGAUGAGUAAAUGUAACCCAGGACCACAAAACCAGUCAUAAGCGUAAUUUUUUUUAAACUGAGAUUUAUAACUUAAAUCACCUAAAAGCUGAAUGAGUAAGCUUUCCAUUAAAUUAACUCUCUUAAACUAUGACUUGGGUUUGUCACCUCAGUGAGCUUGACCUUUUUAGCAGUAUCUAACAAUUAAAAUCACAACCAUGUUAUAUAAUUUAAUGUACAAUAUAUAAUUUUCAGCACAUCUGUUGAGCUGAAAUUGAAUCAGUUUUGACCCAUGCAUUCCAAAUGACCUUUCCAUGACUUUUCAAGUUAAUUGUUAUUACUCGAUUUAAGUAUAGCCAAAGACUAUAGAAUACCUUAUCUUAAAAUAUACUAUAAAAUAGCUUAAAGGGACUUUGGUAUAGCCUAACUAAAUAUUCCAGAUUUUUAAAUUCCCUGAUAUUUUCAGGAUUUCCAUUACCAAGAGUAUUGUAGUGAUUGUAGUUUAUAUUUAUUAUUUUUAAUCGUUAACUUUUGCUGCUCAAUAAAUAUAUAAUUUUAUAAAAGGAGAAAGACAAACAAUAAUACUUCUUAUGACCUCGUUUCAUUGUAUUUUAUUACAAAGAUAAUGAAAAUAUACAAUAUUUAAGGGGAUAAAACUGUGAGGAUAUUAGGCUGAAUGGACCUCAGAUGUGUUUUUCUGUACAUUGCAUCCUCUGAGGAAAGACAGAUGAUGGUUGUGAUAAACACAAGGAAUUUUUUGAGACCACUCAUAUACAGAUAAAGCAACAGAAGCGGAUUCCAUCUCUAAAACCAUCUGCAUGCUGCUAUUGUUCCCAAGGCACUGAUCAACAUCCACCUAGUUAUGAAGACAAACAAAAAUAUAUCUGUUCACUGAUAGUUUAGACUCAAAUAGUCAAAUAUAGGUAAAAGCUGAGAAAACACAGACGGCUGAAAUAAAGUCAAACUCUCAAAUGUUUUCACAUAUUUUUCAAACAACCAAAUGCAUUUGAGUCUUUCUAUAUAUAUAUAUAUGCUGUUAAAUUUUUUAUGGGUCUACCUUGUUUCCAUGAAGUACAAGAGCUCUGAAAACUUGUCCAAAAGGCUUUAGCAGCCGUAGCACUCCUGUAGCAGCACUGGGCUGAUUGGGAACAUUACAUACAACCAGCAAAUGGUCCAAAGCCGUUAGCAGCCCCUAAAAAACAGCGGGACUUGUUCAAGAAUAGAUUAUUUUUAAAAAAAUUUUUUUAUUGUUCUUAAGUUUUAAUUUGAAAUGGCUCCAAAACAAGUGAUACUUGCAUUUGACAAUGAUGACCCCACAAAAGCAUGAAACACUGACACCUGAAGUAAAAGUAUCCAUUAAACUCAGUGAAGUAAAUAAACAAAUGAAGUACUGAAGUAAAACAAAAAAGUAAUUACGCAAGAAAAUAUUAAUUAUGAAAUUGUUUCCAUUUAUCCAUUAGCAUGUCAACUCACAGGUGAACUAAAGUCAACAGUUUGGGACACCAGUUCCAAACUUUGCUGUCUCAUGUGAACUGGGAUAGCAGAGUAAACCUUCACCAUCUCCUCGGCCGAGAAUUCAGUUGGAAACAUCAGUAAAGCCUGAAACACACACACACACACACACACACACACACACACACUGAUAUAGAAGUGCUGUAUUUUACUGGAAAUUAUUUUAGAAAAAAGUAAUUAUUGUUCUAUUGUUUUAAAAUAAACAAGUGCAACAUACAUCCUAAAAUGACACAUACCUUCUUCCAUUCUAGACAGGUUGUUGUGUAAACCUCAGUUGCCAUUAAAACCUCAACAGAUUGACCAAACGGCGAUGCCAUUUUGAUGAGUUCACUCUGAGAGUAAUGAAGAGGGAUUCCAGACACACGAAUCACACCCUUCUUUUGUGCUGAUGUUUUUGCAGUUGUCUUAGUUACUGGCAUCUGAAUGUUGAUGGAUUCAGUGGUUACUUCUGAUUUUGCAGAUUUGACUGGAAAUGAAGACUGCUGAUGACCUUUUGUUAUGGUGUUGUAAGUGUUGGAUCUGUGUGGAGAGGACAAGGGUCUUUGUGUAGUAUAAUGUAUUGCUUUAUUACAGUCUAGAGAGACAAAGCUGUGCCUUCUGCUGUGUUUUGAUCGAGGGGGGAAAUAGACUGAACCAGGCCUCCAGCCGGUGUCCUCAGCAGGCCCAUGUUGCAGCCUCUUUAGGAAGGAAUUUGAUCCUCUUCC